GAUGAACGCUGGCGGCGUGCUUAACACAUGCAAGUCGAACGGAAAGGCCCUGCUUGCAGGGUACUCGAGUGGCGAACGGGUGAGUAACACGUGGGUGAUCUGCCCUGUACUUUGGGAUAAGCCUGGGAAACUGGGUCUAAUACCGAAUAUGACAAUUGUUUGGAUGCGAUUGUGGAAAGCUUUUGCGGUUUGGGGUGAGCUGGCGGCCUAUCAGCUUGUUGGUGGGGUAAUGGCCUACCAAGGCGUCGACGGGUAGCCGGCCUGGGAGGGUGUACGGCCAAACUGGGGCCUGAGAUAGGCCCAAGCCCCCACGGGGGGGCAGAGGGGGGAAAUUUUGAAAAGGGGGCGGAGGCCGGUGCAGGAACGCCGGGGGGGGGAAGGAGGGCUUGGGGUGGGAAAACCGUUUCAGACCGGGAAAAACCUUUUGGGACGGUAAGGUGUAAAGAAGCCCCGGCUAACUUCGGG
RNAcentral lists this ribosomal RNA (465 nucleotides) under uncultured bacterium. RNAcentral describes it as "partial 16S ribosomal RNA". It matches the Rfam family "Bacterial small subunit ribosomal RNA", at positions 28 to 507 of the family's 1533-position model. The record is from RNAcentral.